Molecule: ribosomal RNA, 98 nt
Filed under: Achromobacter sp. NFACC18-2
Lineage: Bacteria; Pseudomonadati; Pseudomonadota; Betaproteobacteria; Burkholderiales; Alcaligenaceae
Source: RNAcentral
AAGGUGGUACCACUCCUUCCCAUCCCGAACAGGACAGUGAAACGCCUUUGCGCCGAUGAUAGUGGACGGACGUCUGUGAAAGUAGGUCAUCGUCAAGC